AACUCGCAUUUGUUGAUAUUUUGGAGAUCAAAGAUAUCAACUUUCGAAUUACCCGCCACAGUUCGUAGCCGUUCGUAGCCAGCUUCGGAAUCGAUCAUUUGCAUAAUACAUGAAUGAAGCGCCCGUAUGUAAACAACCGAUACUGGCGAUAGCGACUUUCAUUCAGCUACCAACAUGAUCAAAAGAAAUGUUUCUACCAGUUACUCUUGAGUCACCUCCAAGCAUUCCCUUAUCCCAAAUUGAUAUUAAAAGAGAAUGUUGAUGAGCCUGAUCCGUCGAUUCAAAUACCAUAACACAGCCAACCCCAAAAAAAAACAAAAGCAAACAAGUGAGCAAGCUGACAAAGCUGCAACUUCAGGGAGCAAUUAUAAGGGUCAUCAAGAUGGAGCCAGGAUUCAUGAUGCUCGUAUUAGAGGUGCUGGACCAGAGUCUGAGUAAGGGAGUAGAACUCCAAGCUGGUUUGAGUGUGCUUCAACUGCCGGGACAUUUCAAUGCAGAGUUAAAAAGUUUGUUGUCGCCGGGAGGCCAGUCUUUCUCAAACUGCUGUAAGAACCUUAUAGAAACUAAAAUUCAGUAUAGAUCUAAGACAUGAGUGUACC
Mya arenaria is the source of this 599-nucleotide long non-coding RNA. RefSeq lists it as uncharacterized. NCBI's taxonomy places the organism in Eukaryota, Metazoa, Mollusca, Bivalvia, Myida, Myidae. The record is from RefSeq and is a predicted model, not a curated record. The transcript has 3 exons.